Molecule: ribosomal RNA, 462 nt
Filed under: uncultured bacterium
Lineage: Bacteria
Description: bacterial SSU rRNA
Rfam family: Bacterial small subunit ribosomal RNA
Source: RNAcentral
GAUGAACGCUGGCGGCGUGCCUAAUACAUGCAAGUCGAACGCUCUAUAGCAAUAUAGAGAGUGGCGAACGGGUGAGUAACACGUAGAUAACCUACCCUUAACUCGAGGAUAACUCUGGGAAACUGGAGCUAAUACUGGAUAGGACAUAUUGAGGCAUCUUGAUAUGUUUAAAGAUUUAUCGGUUAAGGAGGGGUCUGCGGCGCAUUAGUUAGUUGGUGAGGUAAAAGCUUACCAAGACGAUGAUGCGUAGCCGGACUGAGAGGUCGAACGGCCACAUUGGGACUGAGAACGGCCCAAACUCCUACGGGAGGCAGCAGUAGGGAAUUUUCGGCAAUGGGGGGAACCCUGACCGAGCAACGCCGCGUGGACGAAGAAGUUCUUCGGAAUGUAAAGUCCUUUUAUCUGGGAAGAAAAUAACCAAAUUGACGGUACCAGAUGAAUAAGCCCCGGACUAACUAUGUG